This 393-nucleotide ribosomal RNA is filed under the name uncultured bacterium. RNAcentral's name for it is "partial 16S ribosomal RNA". It matches the Rfam family "Bacterial small subunit ribosomal RNA", at positions 523 to 918 of the family's 1533-position model. The record is from RNAcentral.
AUACGGAGGAUCCGAGCGUUAUCCGGAUUUAUUGGGUUUAAAGGGUGCGUAGGUGGUUUGAUAAGUCAGCGGUGAAAGUUUGCAGCUUAACUGUAAAAAUGCCGUUGAAACUGUCGGACUUGAGUGUAAAUGAGGUAGGCGGAAUGCGUGGUGUAGCGGUGAAAUGCAUAGAUAUCACGCAGAACUCCGAUUGCGGAGGCAGCUUACUAAGCUACAACUGACACUGAAGCACGAAAGCGUGGGGAUCAAACAGGAUUAGAUACCCUGGUAGUCCACGCAGUAAACGAUGAUUACUAGCUGUUUGCGAUACACAGUAAGCGGCACAGCGAAAGCGUUAAGUAAUCCACCUGGGGAGUACGCCGGCAACGGUGAAACUCAAAUGAAUUGACGGGG